UGCCCUACGGGGGGCAGCAGUGGGGAAUAUUGGGCAAUGGGCGCAAGCCUGACCCAGCAACGCCGCGUGAAGGAAGAAGGCUUUCGGGUUGUAAACUUCUUUUCUCAGGGACGAAGAAAGUGACGGUACCUGAGGAAUAAGCCACGGCUAACUACGUGCCAGCAGCCGCGGUAAUACGUAGGCGGCAAGCGUUAUCCGGAUUUACUGGGUGUAAAGGGCGUGUAGGCGGGACUGCAAGUCAGAUGAGAAAACCACGGGCUCACCCUGCGGCCUGCAUUUGAAACUG
Molecule: ribosomal RNA, 286 nt
Filed under: uncultured bacterium
Lineage: Bacteria
Description: partial 16S ribosomal RNA
Rfam family: Bacterial small subunit ribosomal RNA
Source: RNAcentral